This 592-nucleotide long non-coding RNA is filed under the name Homo sapiens (human). RNAcentral's name for it is "HSALNT0171461". The record is from RNAcentral. Lineage: Eukaryota; Metazoa; Chordata; Mammalia; Primates; Hominidae.
UGGCAUACUUCUACUUCACAAAUAUGCAGCCUUGGCUCAGAAGACUCAGACAGCUGGAGGUGAUCAAAUGAUGAUCAGUUGCUUCCAUUUGAAUCACUGUCAAGAAAGAAUGAAGCAGCCAAUUCUUUUGGAGGAAGUUGAUAGUCUCUUUUUGGGUGUGUGACAGACAGCACAAUGAUACCUGUGUGGAAGAGGAUGAGGAUGAGGUGGGAGCUACAAGUGCUCAGAGCCUUGGACAUUGCUUCUGCUGAGUUCAGCCUCAGCACAGAGUGAAGGAUUACAGCAUAGGAAGAAAAUACCAGAGCCAUAUCACUCCCAACCAAGACCCAUGCUAGCAUCAGUUGGUAAAAUUUGUUCACAGUGAUGUCAUCACAAGCCAGGCUGAUAACCCCCAAGUUAGAGCAGAGGCAGUGCUCGAUUUCAUUCCUGGAACAGUAGUGUCUCUGGGCAGCCAGUAUAGGCACUGGGAUGGUCAACAGGCCAUUCCUGAGCAUGAUGAACCCUGUGGCUUUGAAGACAAAAGCUUUAGUGACUAUGGAGGGGUACUGAAGAGGGCGACAGAUGGCUAUGUAUCUGUCUACUGCCAUGCAGA